Long non-coding RNA from Physella acuta, 433 nucleotides. RefSeq lists it as uncharacterized. The record is from RefSeq and is a predicted model, not a curated record. Lineage: Eukaryota; Metazoa; Mollusca; Gastropoda; Physidae.
GAUAAGUAACAGCUAAAAUAAUUGUUUGUUCUGUUUACAAUAACAAGGAAUACUGACAGACUACAAGGACAUUGCAGCAAGAGUUUUCAAUGGAACAGCAGCGGAUUAGCUAAAUCUUGUUAAAAUAAUUGGCCAGAUUGUUUCUAUAAUUGAAAAAUGUACUAAUAGAACUAUAGGGGCCUAUAGUUUUCUUUUGCAGCUAAAUACAAUGAAGAUCCUAUUUCUCUUUUUUCUGGUGUGCUUUGCUAGUCUCGCUGUCAUAUCCGAAAGUUGUUGCCAUACCAUGUAUGAUCCCUGCAGUUCUGGCUCUGAUUGCUGCCCAGCUUUUAGCUGUGUAGUAGUAGAUAAAAAGAAUGGGAAAAAGGAAUGCAGAUAGUUAAGAAUAAUAAUGGUGAAAAGAGACUUUUAGAAAAAUAAAUAUCUGCAAUAAUUU